RNAcentral lists this ribosomal RNA (432 nucleotides) under uncultured bacterium. Its description in RNAcentral is "partial 16S ribosomal RNA". It matches the Rfam family "Bacterial small subunit ribosomal RNA", at positions 28 to 507 of the family's 1533-position model. The record is from RNAcentral.
GAUGAACGCUGGCGGUAUGCUUAACACAUGCAAGUCGAACGGUCACUUCGGUGAUAGUGGCGGACGGGUGAGUAACGCGUGAGAAUCUGUCUUCAGGUCGGGGACAACAGUUAGAAAUGACUGCUAAUACCGGAUGUGCCUUUGGGUGAAAGAUUUAUUGCCUGAAAAAGAGCUCGCGUCAGAUUAGCUAGUAGGUGGUGUAAGAGACUACCUAGGCUCCGAUCUGUAGCUGGUCUGAGAGGACGAUCAGCCACACUGGAACUGAGACACGGUCCAGACUCCUACGGGAGGCAGCAGUGGGGAAUUUUCCGCAAUGGGCGAAAGCCUGACGGAGCAAUACCACGUGAGGGACGAAGGCUUUUGGGUCGUAAACCUCUUUUCUCAAGGAAGAUGAUGACGGUACUUGAGGAAUAAGCAUCGGCUAACUCUGUG